CUUCCAGCCGGAGAGCAAACAGGGCAGCAGGGAAGUACGCUGCCAUCCAGUAGGACUUCAGAGAUACCAGGCGCUGGCAGGGGGAAAUCGGAGGGAGGGAAAGGAUGCCUUUCAUGUUUACUGACACCUCCAAAGGUCUGGACAAAAAAGGCUUAGAGUGGUUCACACUCCCAACCCCCUGACUCUUCUGCUAUGUGGAGCGGACUCAAUGCUGGCAAGAAAGGGUGUCCUUUGGCAGCCAGUCAGGACUGCUCAACCGCCUUCUGACUGGAUUGGAUCUAACCCCUGUCCAAGCCACUUGAGUCUGGAUUGUGUGAUGUGGCUUGUCAGAUCAAACUAGAGGCCCUGCUCCAUAUUCCACCACCAUAUGAGGUGUAGUGGAUUGUUACACAAGAAAAGGCCUUUUAAGCAGCAGUUAGGGAUGUGCAGAAAACUCCAGAGGAACGGAAAAUUAAAGUGGUCACCUUAAAUUCCAUGCCAUAUAGGCAGUAAAGACUCUGUACAGUAUACUGGAGGACGACUGUACACUCUACAUUAUGCUGGCUUUACAAAUUAGCCUUCGUAAGGGUGGACAUGAACAUGUUUGUGAACCAUGCUCCACACUUCUGCCUUAUUUGGCUUAAUUAUAACUGGGGUAGCUGGCUGCUCUUGUCUUUGUUGCUCAGUGCCCCCUUCUGUCUCUCCACUUUCCAUCAGAUGCCACCUCAGUUUGCUUUGGUCUUGAAUGUAAUCAGAAUGAACAUAAUUACUGACUCCACCCUGAGCACAGCAUCCAUCCAGUAGCAGUUGGUGUCUACCUUGUGUGUGUUUUUAGAUUGUGAGCCCUUCGGGACAGGGAACCUUCUUAUGUAUUAUUUAUGUUCCAAUGUAAACCACUUUGAGAACUUCUGUAGAAAAGCAGUAUAUAAAUAUUCAUAGUAAUCAUAGUAAUAUCUCGUGUCACUGAG
Long non-coding RNA from Hemicordylus capensis (graceful crag lizard), 947 nucleotides. RefSeq lists it as uncharacterized. The record is from RefSeq and is a predicted model, not a curated record. The transcript has 3 exons. Lineage: Eukaryota; Metazoa; Chordata; Lepidosauria; Squamata; Cordylidae.